GCCUUAGUAACGGCGAGUGAAGCGGCAAUAGCUCAAAUUUGAAAUCUGACCUUUGGUCCGAAUUGUAAUUUGUAGAGGAUGUUUCGGCUUACGCCCCGGUCUAAGUUCCUUGGAACAGGACGUCACAGAGGGUGAGAAUCCCGUUUGUGGCCGGCGGCCCCCGCCAUGUGAAACUCCUUCGACGAGUCGAGUUGUUUGGGAAUGCAGCUCUAAAUGGGAGGUAAAUUUCUUCUAAAGCUAAAUACUGGCCAGAGACCGAUAGCGCACAAGUAGAGUGAUCGAAAGAUGAAAAGCACUUUGGAAAGAGAGUUAAAAAGUACGUGAAAUUGUUGAAAGGGAAGCGCUUGCGACCAGACUUGCCCGCGGAUGCUCAACCGGUCCUUCGGCCGGUGCACUCUUCCGCGGUCAGGCCAGCAUCAGUUCGGGUGGUCGGAUAAAGGCCUUGGGAAUGUGGCUCUCUUCGGGGAGUGUUAUAGCCCUUGGUGCAAUACGUCCUACCUGGACUGAGGCCCGCGCUUCGGCUAGGAUGCUGGCGUAAUGGUCGUAAGCGGCCCGUCUUGAAACACGGACCAAGGAGUCUAACAUCUAUGCGAGUGUUUGGGUGUCAAACCCGUGCGCGAAAUGAAAGUGAACGGAGGUGGGAACCUUAGGGUGCACCAUCGACCGAUCCUGAUGUCUUCGGAUGGAUUUGAGUAAGAGCAUAGCUGUUGGGACCCGAAAGAUGGUGAACUAUGCCUGAAUAGGGUGAAGCCAGAGGAAACUCUGGUGGAGGCUCGCAGCGGUUCUGACGUGCAAAUCGAUCGUCAAAUUUGGGUAUAGGGGCGAAAGACUAAUCGAACCAUUAAAAACGGCUUUUUAUCAAAAAUGAUAAAUUUUUGCUACUAGGUGGUUAAGAGGCAGCUAAAAGUGCAUGCCUAGUCCCUUCAUUCGGGGCGACACCGUCAAAUUGCGGGGACUUCCUUAGAGCCUGAACUACCGCGGCCAAUCGAAAGAUAUGGUGCAGCACCAGGGUAAUGACCUCGGGUAUGGUAAAAACGUUCAGGAUUGGAUAAUCCGCAGCCAAGUCCUAAUGGCCGCCUCCCUCUCUAAAAAAGUAGGGGCGGUACGGAUGCAGUUCACAGACUAGAUGUCGGUGGGUAUGGCCUAAAAAAUUGAUAGGGUCAUGCUUAAGGUAUAGUCGAACCCCCAUGGAAACAUGGGCAGAAGGUCCAAAGUCUCUUAGGCGAAUGAGCAUCGAUAAAGAUGCGCCCUAGUGACCCGAAGUCCCUCUGGAGAGCUG
RNAcentral lists this ribosomal RNA (1279 nucleotides) under Pleurohelicosporium hyalinum. RNAcentral describes it as "Pleurohelicosporium JY-2022a partial large subunit ribosomal RNA". It matches the Rfam family "Eukaryotic large subunit ribosomal RNA", at positions 77 to 1109 of the family's 3401-position model. Lineage: Eukaryota; Fungi; Ascomycota; Dothideomycetes; Tubeufiales; Tubeufiaceae. The record is from RNAcentral.